GACGAACGCUGGCGGCGUGCUUAACACAUGCAAGUCGAGCGGAAAGGCCACUUCGGUGGUACUCGAGCGGCGAACGGGUGAGUAACACGUGAGUUAUCUGCCCCUGGCUUUGGGAUAGCCACCGGAAACGGUGAUUAAUACCGGAUACGACCACUUCUCGCAUGGGAUGGUGGUGGAAAGUUUCUUCGGCCAGGGAUGUGCUCGCGGCCUAUCAGCUUGAUGGUGAGGUAAUGGCUCCCCAUGGCUUCGACGGGUGGCCGGCCUGAGGGGGUGACCGGUCACACUGGGACUGCGACACGGCCCAGACUCCUACGGGAGGCAGCAGUGGGGAAUAUUGGACAAUGGGCGGAAGCCUGAUCCAGCAACGCCGCGUGAGGGAUGACGGCCUUCGGGUUGUAAACCUCUUUCAGCAGGGACGAAGCGCAAGUGACGGUACCUGCAGAAGAAGCACCGGCCAACUACGUGCCAGCCGCCGCCGUAA
Molecule: ribosomal RNA, 481 nt
Filed under: uncultured bacterium
Lineage: Bacteria
Description: partial 16S ribosomal RNA
Rfam family: Bacterial small subunit ribosomal RNA
Source: RNAcentral